This 941-nucleotide non-coding RNA is filed under the name Neogobius fluviatilis (monkey goby). Its description in RNAcentral is "12S ribosomal RNA". It matches the Rfam family "Bacterial small subunit ribosomal RNA". Lineage: Eukaryota; Metazoa; Chordata; Actinopteri; Gobiiformes; Gobiidae. The record is from RNAcentral.
CAAAAGCUUGGUCCUGACUUUUCUGUCAUCUUUGAUUAAAUUUAUACAUGCAAGCCUCCACACCCCCGUGAGAAUGCCCUCUCCACCCCUCCCCGGGUGAGAGGAGCAGAUAUUAGGCACAACACUGUUAGCCCACAACAUCUUGCUUAGCCACACCCCCAAGGGAACCCAGCAGUAAUAAACAUUAAGCCAUAAGUGCAAACUUGACUUAGUUAUCAUCAAGAGGGCCGGUUAAACUCGUGCCAGCCACCGCGGUUAUACGAGAGGCCCAAGUUGACAAAGAUCGGCGUAAAGCGUGGUUAAUGAUAAUUCCACUAAAGCCAAACACCUUCAAGGCUGUAAUACGCCCCCGAAGACAGGAAGACCCAUCACGAAAGUAGCUUUAAUCUUCAUGAACCCACGAAAGCUAGGAAACAAACUGGGAUUAGAUACCCCACUAUGCCCAGCUGUAAACACAAAGGACAUCUUACCCGUCCUUCGCCAGGGAACAACGAGCCCCAGCUUAAAACCCAAAGGACUUGGCGGUGCUUUAGACCCCCCUAGAGGAGCCUGUUCUAGAAUCGAUAUUCCCCGUUCAACCUCACCCCUUCUUGUUUUUACCGCCUAUAUACCGCCGUCGUCAGCUUACCCUGUGAAGGUCUAAUAGUAAGCAAAAUUGGCAAAGCCUAAAACGUCAGGUCAAGGUAUAGCGUAUGAAGGGGGAAGAAAUGGGCUACAUUUGGUGACCCAACAAACACGAAUGAUGCACUGAAAAAACAUCUGAAGGAGGAUUUAGCAGUAAGGAGGGAAUAGAGCGCCCCCCUGAAGACGGCCCUGAAGCGCGCACACACCGCCCGUCACUCUCCCUCAAGACCCAAAAUAAAUAAAUAAUAAGUUACUAAAUAUUAAGGGGAGGCAAGUCGUAACAUGGUAAGUGUACCGGAAGGUGUACUUGGAAAACC